This is a long non-coding RNA of Astatotilapia calliptera (eastern happy), 702 nucleotides long. The record is from Ensembl. Lineage: Eukaryota; Metazoa; Chordata; Actinopteri; Cichliformes; Cichlidae.
CAUGUUUUUACUGAAACAGGUUUUUACUGAAACAGGUUUGUUAUUGAAACACGUUUUUACUGAAACAUGUUUUUACUGAAACAGGUUUGUUAUUGAAACAGGUUUUUACUGAAACAGGUUUUUACUGAAACAGGUUUGUUUUUGAAACACGUUUUUACUGAAACAUGUUUUUAUUUUUUACUGAAACAGGUUUGUUAUUGAAAUAGGUUUUUACUGAAAGAGGCUGGCUACUGAAGCAAGUUUUUACUGAAAGAUGUUGUUACGGCCCUGGUCAUAAUGUGUCUUGGUGGCUGUUUCUUGUGUCUGUGUCUUUAAGUCUCUGCAGGUCCCUGAUUGGAUAAGCUGACGGCUGCUGAUUGGUCCCCUGAUCAUGUGGUUGCUUUGAAAAUCUGUUACCAGCAGUUGAGCCACUGACAGCAGCAGCAGACCUGACCCUGGUUUCCAAAACCUGUAUCAUUCUGUUUGAGCUUCUCGUGACUUACCGAGCUUUGUAUAUAGCGUGUACAUUAGUUUUCACUUGUAAAUAGCACUGAAGCAGAAGGGGUGAGCUGCCUUAUUAUUUUUCCUUAUAGUGUUUUCUCCUGUUUAUUUUAGUUAGGUAGUUAGGUGUAGCGCUUGUCUUUUGUUUGGUUUUUGUUUCACAUAGGGUUUUAGACAACACCUCCUUUCCUGACUUAGCUUAUUUUGUUUGUUAUUUUGGCC